Molecule: long non-coding RNA, 1725 nt
Filed under: Helianthus annuus (common sunflower)
Lineage: Eukaryota; Viridiplantae; Streptophyta; Magnoliopsida; Asterales; Asteraceae
Description: hypothetical non coding rna
Source: RNAcentral
UUCAAAAUUUACAUGUCAGUUCACUUUACCUAUUAAUAUAUUAAUAUAUGAUAGUAGAGAAAGUGAAUGAACAGUGAUUUGUUUGUCUGGCUUCUUCUCAUUUACCUAUUUGGGCGGUCAUCCCCAUUCAGAUGCGUGUCUUUCACCUUUACAUCUUCAUUCUAAUCAGCUUCAAAAAGAGAGAACAAGGGCUGGCAGAAGCGGGACCGCCCCUGGUGGCGGAGUCGUGGCGGAGCCACGACGGUGGCCGGUUUCUUUAAAUGGUUAGGGUUUCAAACAUGAGACGUCGGAGAACAAGGCCUUCUGGUUUUGGGGGGUUUUCACUAUGGCCACUUAAUAAUGGUUAGGGUUUCAAACAUGAGACGUCGGUUGUUGAAGGCGUCCGUUCAUGAGCUCCUGUGGUGGCGGCAAUUGUUGAUUGUGCCUAUCUUUCGGUUUCCUUUGUUAGGGGUCGAUGAUAGCUAGGGUUUCCUAUGCUGAGACUCUAACCGACUUUGAUAGGUGGUGGUUACUUUUAUCUACGAUUUAUCGGUCACGAUGUGUUUCUUCAUCUGAGAUGUUCUUGAUUUGAAUAAUGAAACCCUAAGUCGCUUAUGUAUUAUUUUUGCUGGUUAGGGUUUCUGCAGAUCAUGUAGAUUGUAUACAUAUAAAUCUGUGAUUUAUAGAGCUCCUUUGAUGAUGGAGCUACAUGCAUUUGGUCUAUGAUUCUGUUUUUGGCGUUUGGGUUACUGAGUUAGGCGAUGAUGAUUGUGUGGGUGUAAACCGAGUUGGGGAUUUCACCGUGGCGUGGCAUGUUUGAGAGAUGGUAGAUGUUCACCUGCAACCUCCAAUGCAGCCACGGUUAUCUCCUUCAUUUACACCAUCUGAGCCGUAAUGCUCUUUUUAUAUUGGAACUGGUUGCGUUAUAUAUAUGUAUUAAUAGUCACGCAUUUAUCUACUGCUAAUUGGAUGCUUUUCUCUAAUUCUAAGGAUGGGUCAUUAGCUCAGAUUUAGGAAAAUUUUCUACCCUGCAAGACACCGCAUCAGCGGUUAUAAAUGCACGAUUAUACUUGUGGACCUGUUCGGGUUGGAACACAUUUUGGCCAGAGAUUGUUACAGGCAUGCUAAAGGGUGAGCGCAACAAACUUGGCAACCGUGUUGAAAAAGAAGCAGUUGAAGAUGGUUUCUUAGAUUACUAUAGCGGCUAACAAGUGUUUGGUUUUCAAAUCUGAGUCACCUUUAUGAAAUCCAUAAUUAUGAGGUAUACGAAAACGAAAUCUCCUGCCACUCAAGGAUCAAUGGUCAUAUAUAAUACAUUUUGAUUCUGAUUUGACGGUGUUAAUUUGACUUAGUUUGUGUUUUGACCCGCCGCAACACAUGGCGGAUUGUAUUCAGUGAAACACGUCUGUAAAAACGAAUCGGGUACGCCGCCGCAACGCGCAGCUGCUAAAAAUACUAGUUUGAAUAAAACAGAAACAAGGACCUUCAAAAUUCUCAUGUACAUUCACCAUUAAUGAACUUGUCAAGUUCGGUGUACAUAGAUCUAGAUUGAUCACUCGGAAAGAAGCAUUGAAAGCGGCAACAACUCUUCACAACUUUUUGUUGCAAUACGGGAAUACAUUGCCUCAACUCUUAAAUACAAUGGGGAGAUUUAGAUGAACUCAAUAUAGAUUUGAAGUUCAAAAAAAAAAAACAAGUGAAUAUAUAUUCAUUUUUUACUAUACAGUCCUAGAAUUUUGGAAUAUU